This 384-nucleotide ribosomal RNA is filed under the name uncultured bacterium. RNAcentral describes it as "bacterial SSU rRNA". It matches the Rfam family "Bacterial small subunit ribosomal RNA", at positions 28 to 414 of the family's 1533-position model. The record is from RNAcentral.
GACGAACGCUGGCGGCGUGCUUAACACAUGCAAGUCGAGCGGUAAGGCCCUUCGGGGUACACGAGCGGCGAACGGGUGAGUAACACGUGGGUGACCUGCCUCUAGCUCUGGGAUAAGCCUGGGAAACUGGGUCUAAUACCGGAUAUGACUCCACGGCGCAUGUUGUGGGGUGGAAAGCCUUGUGUGGCUAGAGAUGGGCCCGCGGCCUAUCAGCUUGUUGGUGGGGUGAUGGCCUACCAAGGCGACGACGGGUAGCCGGCCUGAGAGGGCGACCGGCCACACUGGGACUGAGACACGGCCCAGACUCCUACGGGAGGCAGCAGUGGGGAAUCGUUGCGCAAUGGGCGAAAGCCUGACGCAGCGACGCCGCGUGAGGGAUGACGG